Molecule: ribosomal RNA, 429 nt
Filed under: bacterium
Lineage: Bacteria
Description: partial 16S ribosomal RNA
Rfam family: Bacterial small subunit ribosomal RNA
Source: RNAcentral
UAGGGAAUCUUCCACAAUGAACGCAAGUCUGAUGGAGCAACGCCGCGUGAGUGAAGAAGGUUUUCGGAUCGUAAAGCUCUGUUGUUGGUGAAGAAGGAUAGAGGCAGUAACUGGUCUUUAUUUGACGGUAAUCAACUAGAAAGUCACGGCUAAUUACGUGCCAGCAGCCGCGGUAUUACGUAGUUGGCAAGCGUUGUCCGGAUUUAUUGGGCGUAAAGCGAGCGCAGGCGGAAUGAUAAGUCUGAUGUGAAAGCCCACGGCUCAACCGAGGAACUGCAUCGGAAACUGUCAUUCUUGAGUGCAGAAGAGGGGAGUGGAAUUCCAUGUGUAGCGGUGGAAUGCGUAGAAAUAUGGAAGAACAACAGUGGCGGAGGCGGCUCUCUGGGCUGAAACUGACGCUGAGGAUCGAAAGGAUAGGGAGCGAACAGG